Molecule: ribosomal RNA, 253 nt
Filed under: uncultured bacterium
Lineage: Bacteria
Description: partial 16S ribosomal RNA
Rfam family: Bacterial small subunit ribosomal RNA
Source: RNAcentral
UACGUAGGAGGCAAGCGUUGUCCGGAAUUACUGGGUGUAAAGGGCGUGUAGGCGGGUAUAUAAGACAGAUGUGAAAUUCCGGGGCUUAACUCUGGAGCUGCAUCUGAAACUAUAUAUCUUGAGUGUUGGAGAGGAAAGCGGAAUUCCUAGUGUAGUGGUGAAAUGCGUAGAUAUUAGGAGGAACACCGGUGGCGAAGGCGGCUUUCUGGACAAUAACUGACGCUGAGGCGCGAAAGCGUGGGGAGCACACAGG